GUUAACCUAGGUAUAAAUAUUAAUUUUCUACUAAUAAUCAGCCUUUAAUCCUCCUUCUCAUGGCCCUAGUCAUUCCUCUCCUCCUCUCCUUCUCUUUGAUUUUAAUUUUUUUCCAUUCCUCCAUUGUUGUCGUCGCCUACACCUAGUUUUACCAUCUCUUUCUUUUGUUUCCUUUUUCUUUUUGCCACAAGAUUUGUUAACAUAUUCU
RNAcentral lists this long non-coding RNA (208 nucleotides) under Gossypium barbadense (sea-island cotton). RNAcentral describes it as "long non-coding RNA (GBAR_LNC020139)". Lineage: Eukaryota; Viridiplantae; Streptophyta; Magnoliopsida; Malvales; Malvaceae. The record is from RNAcentral.